UCCUACGGGAGGCAGCAGUGGGGAAUAUUGCGCAAUGGGGGGAACCCUGACGCAGCCAUGCCGCGUGAAUGAAGAAGGCCUUCGGGUUGUAAAGUUCUUCCGGUAAUGAGGAAGGGAUGUUGUUAAAUAGAUAGCAUCAUUGACGUUAAUUACAGAAGAAGCACCGGCUAACUCCGUGCCAGCAGCCGCGGUAAUACGGAGGGUGCGAGCGUUAAUCGGAAUAACUGGGCGUAAAGGGCACGCAGGCGGACUUUUAAGUGAGAUGUGAAAUCCCCGAGCUUAACUUGGGAACUGCAUUUCAGACUGGGAGUCUAGAGUACUUUAGGGAGGGGUAGAAUUCCACGUGUAGCGGUGAAAUGCGUAGAGAUGUGGAGGAAUACCGAAGGCGAAGGCAGCCCCUUGGGAAUGUACUGACGCUCAUGUGCGAAAGCGUGGGGAGCAAACAGGAUUAGAUACCCUGGUAGUCC
Molecule: ribosomal RNA, 467 nt
Filed under: uncultured bacterium
Lineage: Bacteria
Description: bacterial SSU rRNA
Rfam family: Bacterial small subunit ribosomal RNA
Source: RNAcentral